Molecule: ribosomal RNA, 500 nt
Filed under: uncultured bacterium
Lineage: Bacteria
Description: partial 16S ribosomal RNA
Rfam family: Bacterial small subunit ribosomal RNA
Source: RNAcentral
ACUCAAAGGAAUUGACGGGGGCCCGCACAAGCAGUGGAGCAUGUGGUUCAAUUCGAUGCAACGCGAAGAACCUUACCUGGGUUUGAAAGGCAAGUGACCGUCGAUGAAAGUCGAUCUCGUAGCAAUACGCACUUGUACAGGUGCUGCAUGGCUGUCGUCAGCUCGUGCCGUGAGGUGUUAGGUUAAGUCCUGCAACGAGCGCAACCCCUGCACUUAGUUGCCAUCAGGUAAUGCUGGGCACUCUAAGUGGACUGCCUACGCAAGUAGUGAGGAAGGCGGGGAUGACGUCAAGUCCUCAUGGCCCUUACACCCAGGGCCACACACGUGCUACAAUGGUUGGUACAAAGGGCUGCUAAGCCGUAAGGUGGAGCCAAUCCCAAAAAACCAACCUCAGUUCGGAUUGGGGUCUGCAACUCGACCCCAUGAAGCUGGAAUUGCUAGUAAUCGCGGAUCAGCACGCCGCGGUGAAUACGUUCCCGGGCCUUGUACACACCGCCCGU